CUAACAAGGAUUCCCCUAGUAACGGCGAGUGAAGCGGGAAGAGCUCAAAUUUGAAAUCUGGCGGUCUCAGGCCGUCCGAGUUGUAGUCUCGAGAAGCGUUUUCCGCGCCGGACCGUGUACAAGUCCCUUGGAACAGGGCGUCAUAGAGGGUGAGAAUCCCGUCUUUGACACGGACUGCCGGUGCUUUGUGAUGCGCUCUCAAAGAGUCGAGUUGUUUGGGAAUGCAGCUCAAAAUGGGUGGUAAAUUCCAUCUAAAGCUAAAUAUGGGCGAAAGACCGAUAGCGAACAAGUACCGUGAGGGAAAGAUGAAAAGCACUUUGGAAAGAGAGUUAAACAGUACGUGAAAUUGUUGAAAGGGAAACGCUUGAAGUCAGUCGCGUCUUCCGGGACUCAGCCUAGCCUUUUGGUUAGGUGCACUUCCCGGGGUGACGGGCCAGCAUCGAUUUCGACCGUUGGAGAAAGGCCUUGGGAACGUGGCACCUUCGGGUGUGUUAUAGCCCUCGGUCGUAUGCAACGGUUGGGAUCGAGGAUCGCAGCGCGCCUUUUGGCCGGGGUUCGCCCACGUAACGCGCUUA
RNAcentral lists this ribosomal RNA (575 nucleotides) under [Ramaria] zippelii var. gracilis. Its description in RNAcentral is "eukaryotic LSU rRNA". It matches the Rfam family "Eukaryotic large subunit ribosomal RNA", at positions 65 to 609 of the family's 3401-position model. The record is from RNAcentral. Lineage: Eukaryota; Fungi; Basidiomycota; Agaricomycetes; Gomphales; Gomphaceae.